Molecule: ribosomal RNA, 253 nt
Filed under: uncultured bacterium
Lineage: Bacteria
Description: partial 16S ribosomal RNA
Rfam family: Bacterial small subunit ribosomal RNA
Source: RNAcentral
UACGUAGGGGGCAAGCGUUGUCCGGAUUUAUUGGGCGUAAAGAGCGUGUAGGCGGCCAGGUAGGUCUGCUGUGAAAACUUGAGGCUCAACCUCGAGACGUCGGCGGAAACCAUCUGGCUAGAGUCCGGAAGAGGAGAGUGGAAUUCCUGGUGUAGCGGUGAAAUGCGCAGAUAUCAGGAAGAACACCCGUGGCGAAGGCGGCUCUCUGGGACGGUACUGACGCUGAGACGCGAAAGCGUGGGGAGCGAACAGG